Cyclopterus lumpus (lumpfish) is the source of this 576-nucleotide long non-coding RNA. RefSeq lists it as uncharacterized. The record is from RefSeq and is a predicted model, not a curated record. NCBI's taxonomy places the organism in Eukaryota, Metazoa, Chordata, Actinopteri, Perciformes, Cyclopteridae. The transcript is spliced from 3 exons.
UACAACUAACGUUACAAGAGAACAAACAAACUGCCAAGUGUAGUAUUAACUGAAGCUCCGUGUUAAUUCAGAUCAAGCUCACUAGGUUACUACAACAGUUACAGGGUACUUUCAUUGCCAGUCAGAAUGAAUGAAGAGGACUAUAAGCAUGGGUCACCUGUUUACCAGGAGAACAGCCAGAUGGCGUUCUUUCUGGGAGCUCCCCCCCAGUUCCUACCUGAGAGGACACAGAAUCGUCCGUCUAUGUGUCUGACCGGAAUGCCACACCAACAGCUGCAAUCUCACUCCCCUGAACACUACAGGAAGGCGAUGGACAUGCUGCCAAACACCUGUAUGACCCCAGUGCCAGGUGACCCUUAUAAAACUAGACGUAUGUCUAUCAUAGAAGUGUCACAUUAACAACACAGUAGCAGCGUGGUGCUCACUGGUGAGAGAGUGCAGGGUUUGAAUAUUGCCGUUGGUCAUCUGCUUGCCGUCUGCCCUCUCCCCUUCGGCCUGUGUAGUUUUCCUCUGAGGGCUCUGAUGCGUUCCUCACCAUGAGACAAGUCUCUUCACAGGAAGGUUCUCCUGCGAUAA